RNAcentral lists this microRNA precursor (66 nucleotides) under Bombyx mori (domestic silkworm). RNAcentral describes it as "mir-2774 microRNA precursor family". It matches the Rfam family "mir-2774 microRNA precursor family". Lineage: Eukaryota; Metazoa; Arthropoda; Insecta; Lepidoptera; Bombycidae. The record is from Rfam by way of RNAcentral.
AUAACGUUCGGACCGUCAGUCUACCAAACAAUUUCACCCGCUCGGUAAAGAUCUUUUCUUUGUCGU